This 445-nucleotide ribosomal RNA is filed under the name uncultured Bacteroidota bacterium. Its description in RNAcentral is "bacterial SSU rRNA". It matches the Rfam family "Bacterial small subunit ribosomal RNA", at positions 354 to 796 of the family's 1533-position model. Lineage: Bacteria; Pseudomonadati; Bacteroidota. The record is from RNAcentral.
GUGAGGAAUAUUGGUCAAUGGGCGACAGCCUGAACCAGCCAUCCCGCGUGAAGGAAGACUGCCCUAUGGGUUGUAAACUUCUUUUCCGGAGGAAUAAAAUCCCGAACGUGUUCGGGACUGAAGGUACUCCGGGAAUAAGCAUCGGCUAACUCCGUGCCAGCAGCCGCGGUAAUACGGAGGAUGCGAGCGUUAUCCGGAUUUAUUGGGUUUAAAGGGUGCGUAGGCGGAUUAAUAAGUCAGUGGUGAAAACCUUCAGCUUAACUGGAGACUUGCCAUUGAUACUGUUAGUCUUGAGUACGGUCAAGGUAGGCGGAAUGUGUAAUGUAGCGGUGAAAUGCUUAGAUAUUACACAGAACACCGAUUGCGAAGGCAGCUUACUGGGCCGUUACUGACGCUGAUGCACGAAAGCGUGGGGAGCGAACAGGAUUAGAUACCCCAGUAGUCC